UACGGAGGGUGCAAGCGUUAUCCGGAUUCACUGGGUUUAAAGGGUGCGUAGGUGGAGUGGUAAGUCAGUGGUGAAAUCUCCAAGCUUAACUUGGAACUGCCGUUGAUACUAUCAUUCUUGAAUAUCGUGGAGGUAAGCGGAAUAUGUCAUGUAGCGGUGAAAUGCUUAGAUAUGACAUAGAACACCGAUUGCGAAGGCAGCUUACUACACGAUCAUUGACACUGAGGCACGAAAGCGUGGGGAUCAAACAGG
This 252-nucleotide ribosomal RNA is filed under the name uncultured bacterium. RNAcentral describes it as "partial 16S ribosomal RNA". It matches the Rfam family "Bacterial small subunit ribosomal RNA", at positions 524 to 776 of the family's 1533-position model. The record is from RNAcentral.